CGCUGGCGGCAGGCUUAACACAUGCAAGUCGAGCGCCCCGCAAGGGGGAGCGGCAGACGGGUGAGUAACGCGUGGGAGCAUACCCUUUGGUUCGGAAUAACUCAGGGAAACUUGAGCUAAUACCGGAUACGUCCGUAAGGAGAAAGAUUUAUCGCCAAAGGAUUGGCCCGCGUCCGAUUAGCUAGUUGGUGAGGUAACGGCUCACCAAGGCUACGAUCGGUAGCUGGUCUGAGAGGAUGAUCAGCCACAUUGGGACUGAGACACGGCCCAAACUCCUACGGGAGGCAGCAGUGGGGAAUAUUGGACAAUGGGCGCAAGCCUGAUCCAGCCAUGCCGCGUGAGUGAUGAAGGCCUUAGGGUUGUAAAGCUCUUUUGUCCGGGAAGAUAAUGACUGUACCGGAAGAAUAAGCCCCGGCUAACUUCGUG
RNAcentral lists this ribosomal RNA (426 nucleotides) under uncultured bacterium. Its description in RNAcentral is "bacterial SSU rRNA". It matches the Rfam family "Bacterial small subunit ribosomal RNA", at positions 34 to 507 of the family's 1533-position model. The record is from RNAcentral.